RNAcentral lists this ribosomal RNA (532 nucleotides) under uncultured bacterium. RNAcentral describes it as "bacterial SSU rRNA". It matches the Rfam family "Bacterial small subunit ribosomal RNA", at positions 8 to 526 of the family's 1533-position model. The record is from RNAcentral.
AGAGUUUGAUCAUGGCUCAGGACGAACGCUGGCGGCGUGCUUAACACAUGCAAGUGGUGCGACGAACCAGGGCUUGCCCUGGGGCAAAGCCGCGAACGGGUGAGUAACACGUGGGUAACCUGCCCCGAUGACCGGGACAACCCGAGGAAACUCGGGCUAAUACCGGAUGUGGCGCGCGGAUCCAAGUCCGCGCACUAAAGGAAGCUUCGGCCUCCGCAUUGGGAGGGGCCCGCGGCCCAUUAGCUUGUUGGUGGGGUAACGGCCUACCAAGGCAACGAUGGGUAGCUGGUCUGAGAGGACGAUCAGCCACACUGGGACUGAGACACGGCCCAGACUCCUACGGGAGGCAGCAGUGGGGAAUCUUGCGCAAUGCGCGAAAGCGUGACGCAGCAACGCCGCGUGAGGGAAGACGGCCUUCGGGUUGUAAACCUCUUUCAGGAGGGACGAAGGCUCACCGGUGAAUAGCCGUGUGGGUUGACGGUACCUCCAGAAGAAGCUCCGGCUAACUUCGUGCCAGCCGCCGCGGUAAUAC